UGCAGUCGAGCGCGCCCUUCGGGGUGAGCGGCGGACGGGUUAGUAACGCGUGGGAAUAUACCCUUUUCUGCGGAAUAGCCUCUGGAAACGGAGAGUAAUACCGCAUACGCCCUUCGGGGGAAAGAUUUAUCGGGGAAGGAUUAGCCCGCGUUAGAUUAGGUAGUUGGUGGGGUAAUGGCCUACCAAGCCUACGAUCUAUAGCUGGUUUUAGAGGAUGAUCAGCAACACUGGGACUGAGACACGGCCCAGACUCCUACGGGAGGCAGCAGUGGGGAAUCUUGGACAAUGGGGGCAACCCUGAUCCAGCCAUGCCGCGUGAGUGAUGAAGGCCUUAGGGUCGUAAAGCUCUUUCGCCUGUGAAGAUAAUGACGGUAGCAGGUAAAGAAACCCCGGCUAACUCCGUGCCAGCAGCCGCGGUAAUACGGAGGGGGUUAGCGUUGUUCGGAAUUACUGGGCGUAAAGCGCACGUAGGCGGACUGGAAAGUUGGGGGUGAAAUCCCAGGGCUCAACCCUGGAACUGCCUCCAAAACUAUCAGUCUAGAGUUCGAGAGAGGUGAGUGGAAUUCCGAGUGUAGAGGUGAAAUUCGUAGAUAUUCGGAGGAACACCAGUGGCGAAGGCGGCUCACUGGCUCGAUACUGACGCUGAGGUGCGAAAGUGUGGGGAGCAAACAGGAUUAGAUACCCUGGUAGUCCACACCGUAAACGAUGAAUGCCAGUCGUCGGGUAGCAUGCUAUUCGGUGACACACCUAACGGAUUAAGCAUUCCGCCUGGGGAGUACGG
This 781-nucleotide ribosomal RNA is filed under the name Ruegeria sp. RNAcentral's name for it is "bacterial SSU rRNA". It matches the Rfam family "Bacterial small subunit ribosomal RNA", at positions 56 to 885 of the family's 1533-position model. Lineage: Bacteria; Pseudomonadati; Pseudomonadota; Alphaproteobacteria; Rhodobacterales; Roseobacteraceae. The record is from RNAcentral.